This 396-nucleotide ribosomal RNA is filed under the name Klebsiella aerogenes. RNAcentral's name for it is "partial 23S ribosomal RNA". It matches the Rfam family "Bacterial large subunit ribosomal RNA", at positions 125 to 561 of the family's 2925-position model. The record is from RNAcentral. RNAcentral also lists the same sequence under 1 other name. Lineage: Bacteria; Pseudomonadati; Pseudomonadota; Gammaproteobacteria; Enterobacterales; Enterobacteriaceae.
AACCCAGUGCAAUUCGUUGCACUAUCGUUAACUGAAUACAUAGGUUAACGAGGCGAACCGGGGGAACUGAAACAUCUAAGUACCCCGAGGAAAAGAAAUCAACCGAGAUUCCCCCAGUAGCGGCGAGCGAACGGGGAGCAGCCCAGAGUCUGAAUCAGCUUGUGUGUUAGUGGAACGGUCUGGAAAGUCCGACGGUACAGGGUGAUAGUCCCGUACACCAAAAUGCACAGGUUGUGAACUCGAAGAGUAGGGCGGGACACGUGGUAUCCUGUCUGAAUAUGGGGGGACCAUCCUCCAAGGCUAAAUACUCCUGACUGACCGAUAGUGAACCAGUACCGUGAGGGAAAGGCGAAAAGAACCCCGGCGAGGGGAGUGAAAAAGAACCUGAAACCGUGU